RNAcentral lists this ribosomal RNA (253 nucleotides) under uncultured bacterium. RNAcentral describes it as "partial 16S ribosomal RNA". It matches the Rfam family "Bacterial small subunit ribosomal RNA", at positions 524 to 776 of the family's 1533-position model. The record is from RNAcentral.
UACGAAGGGGGCUAGCGUUGCUCGGAAUCACUGGGCGUAAAGGGCGCGUAGGCGGCCAUUCAAGUCGGAGGUGAAAGCCCAGGGCUCAACCCUGGAAUUGCCUUCGAUACUGUCUGGCUAGAGUCCGGAAGAGGAGGAUGGAAUUCCCGGUGUAGCGGUGAAAUGCGCAGAUAUCGGGAAGAACACCCGUGGCGAAGGCGGUUCUCUGGGACGGUACUGACGCUGAGACGCGAAAGCGUGGGGAGCGAACAGG